RNAcentral lists this ribosomal RNA (233 nucleotides) under Clostridia bacterium. RNAcentral's name for it is "partial 16S ribosomal RNA". It matches the Rfam family "Bacterial small subunit ribosomal RNA", at positions 1 to 229 of the family's 1533-position model. Lineage: Bacteria; Bacillati; Bacillota; Clostridia. The record is from RNAcentral.
UAACACGAGAGUUUGAUCCUGGCUCAGGACGAACACUGGCGGCGUGCCUAACACAUGCAAGUCGAGCGGGGACAGAGAAGCUUGCUUUUCUGUUCUAGCGGCGGACGGGUGAGUAACGCGUGAGCAACCUGCCUUACACUGGGGAAUAACGCAUCGAAAGAUGUGCUAAUACCGCGUAAGACCACACUACCGCAUGGUAGAGGGGUCAAAGGAGCAAUCCGGUAUAAGAUGGG